This 1084-nucleotide ribosomal RNA is filed under the name uncultured bacterium. RNAcentral's name for it is "bacterial SSU rRNA". It matches the Rfam family "Bacterial small subunit ribosomal RNA", at positions 8 to 1089 of the family's 1533-position model. The record is from RNAcentral.
AGAGUUUGAUCCUGGCUCAGGAUGAACUCUAGCUACAGGCCUAACACACGCAAGUCGAGGGGCAGCAUGGGGUCCGCUUGCGGACCCCGAUGGCGACCGGCGAAUGGGUGAGUCACGCGUGUCCAACCUGCCCCGCGCCCGGGGAUAGCCCUUGGAAAUGAGGAUUAAGACCCGAUAUGCGCACGCCCCGCAUGGCGCGUGCGUGAAUGGAGGCGCGGGAUGGGGACGCGUCGGAUUAGCUUGACGGCGGGGCGACGGCCCACCGUGGCGACGAUCCGCAGGGGUUCUGAGAGGAAGGUCCCCCACACUGGCACUGAGACACGGGCCAGACUCCUACGGGAGGCAGCAGUGAGGAAUAUUGGUCAAUGGCCGAGAGGCUGAACCAGCCAAGUAGCGUGCAGGAUGACGGCCCUACGGGUUGUAAACUGCUUUUGCGGGAGGAUAACCGGCGCCACGUGUGGCGCCCUGCAGGUAUCCCGUGAAUAAGGACCGGCUAAUUCCGUGCCAGCAGCCGCGGUAAUACGGAAGGUCCGGGCGUUAUCCGGAUUUAUUGGGUUUAAAGGGAGCGCAGGCGGGCUGUCAAGCGUGCCGUGAAAUUUCGGGGCUCAACCCCGUUAAGCGGCGCGAACUGGCGGCCUUGGUUGCGGGAGAGGGAGGCGGAACUCGUGGUGUAGCGGUGAAAUGCAUAGAUAUCACGAAGAACCCCGAUUGCGAAGGCAGCCUCCCGGCCCGUGAACGACGCUCAUGCUCGAAGGCGCGGGUAUCAAACAGGAUUAGAUACCCUGGUAGUCCGCGCGGUAAACGAUGGACACUCGGGAUUUGCCCUUUUUUUGGGUGAGUCCCCCAGCGAAAGCGUUAAGUGUCCCACCUGGGGAGUACGCCGGCAACGGUGAAACUCAAAGGAAUUGACGGGGGCCCGCACAAGCGGAGGAACAUGUGGUUUAAUUCGAUGAUACGCGAGGAACCUUACCCGGGCUUGAAAUGUGCACGACGACCCUGAGAGACCAGGGUCUCCUUCGGGCGUGCAUGUAGGUGCUGCAUGGUUGUCGUCAGCUCGUGCCGUGAGGUGUCGGCUCAAGUGCCA